RNAcentral lists this unclassified non-coding RNA (352 nucleotides) under uncultured fungus. RNAcentral's name for it is "partial contains 5.8S ribosomal RNA and internal transcribed spacer 2". The stretch from base 1 to 133 matches the Rfam family "5.8S ribosomal RNA", at positions 22 to 154 of the family's 154-position model. The record is from RNAcentral. Lineage: Eukaryota; Fungi.
UGGUUCUGGCAUCGAUGAAGAACGCAGCAAAAUGCGAUAAGUAAUGCGAAUUGCAGAAUUCCGUGAGUCAUCGAAUCUUUGAACGCACAUUGCGCCCUUUGGCAUUCCGAAGGGCAUGCCUGUUCGAGCGUCAUUAUCAACCCUCAAGCCCCGGCUUGCUGUUGGAUCUCUGGGAGACCCCUCGCGGGUCAACCGGUCCUAAAGACAAUGACGGCGUCCGUGAGACCCCCGGUACAACGAGCCCCUCCCGGCACGUAUCGUGGUGGGCUGGCGGACCCGGUCGCCUGUGUGGUGCUUGUCACCCACGAUUUUUUCUCAGGUUGACCUCGGAUCAGGUAGGGAUACCCGCUGA